AUGCAGAGUCAAAGUUCAGCUAUAAAACAAGGUUUGCAUUUCUUCAGCAGGUGCCAUCUUUUGGACUUGCCCUGGGAGGAUGUACUUGUUCCACAUGUUUUAUGCCAUUUGCCACUGCAGCUCCUUGUAAGCCUGCAGAGGGUCAGCAAGCAGUUCCACAGCCUCAUCCAGGUGUAUCUGGCCAACUGCAGGACCUUUGAUCUGUCCUCGUUACAGAUUGGACCAUCCAUUUCCAAGGAAGCAUUUUGCUCCAUGUUAAAGGACAACAAAGUUCUCCACAGACUGUCUCUUCAGCGUUGUUCAGACUGGGUGACGGAUAAGGAGCUGCUGCCAGUUAUCGGCCAGAACCAGCACCUGCAGAGAGUGGACAUGAGCGGGUGUGUUUGUCUCACCCGUCACUCCCUGGUGGCCGUGUCCUUGAGCUGCAUGCACCUCCAGCACCUUGGCCUGGCGCACUGCGAGUGGGUGGACAGCCUGUCUCUGCGCAGCCUGGCUGACCACUGCGGGGGGCUGCAGUCGAUCGACAUCACCGCCUGCCGCCAGCUAAAGGACGACGCCAUCUGCUACCUGGCCAAGAAGUGCUUGAAGUUGAGGUCUUUAUCUUUGGCAGUCAACGCCAACGUCACUGACGAGUCGGUGGAGGAGGUGGCCAAGAACUGCAGGGGCCUGGAGCAGCUGGACCUGACAGGUUGCCUGCGGGUCAGGAACCAGUCCAUCAGGACUCUUGCAGAGUACUGCCCGAAGCUGCAGUCCCUGAAGGUGAAUCACUGUCACAAUGUGACAGAGUCGAGUCUGGAUCCUCUACGGAAGCGCAAUGUAGUGAUAGAUGUUGAGCCACCUCUACAGAGGGCUCUGGUGCUUCUUCAGGAUGUGCUGGGGUUUGCUCCUUUUAUCAAUCUCCAGAUAUAGCCAAAUGGCCAUCUAUCUGUCCAACAAGUGCACACAGAUUUCUUCAUCAAAGCAGUCACUCUCAGCUGCAGCAAAUGUGCUCGUGAGUUGCUCUAAGAAACGUCAAGACGAUCCAAGAAGACCUGGAUGUUUUACACUCCAGUUUAAAAAUAAUGUGGACAAAAAAAAGCUCACUGGUUUUUAUUAUCUCCAUUACUGAGACUUCUGCUUCCACCACAAGACAAUGAAGGUGGAUGCAAGUGUGUUAGUGGUGCUGACUAGUGUCUUCCAGAAACAAUGUCCCGGCUCCUCAGGAUGAUCCUCAGACCUCACUGUCGUUUUUAACUGCUUCAAAAAUAAAAACAGUUGUUGCUCACAGUAACUCCAAAACUAUCUGCAUAGCUAGAUGCCAACAGAGAUUAGUGGGAAAAUGUUUAUAUUUUUUUCUUGUGACACUGGUGAAGCAACCCUUUUAUCCAUAUUGUUAAUUAUCACAUACUUGUAUAGCCUAGUAUUUGUUUGAAAAAAAGGAAUAUAUUAUGACUGUUCCCAUUAAACCCUUGAAAUUCAUUUUGUAAAAAGUACCUGUGUUGAAAUGCUGUUGCCUAAUAAGGUAUAUGGAUUAUAUAAGACAUAUUAAAAUGCAUCAUAUCAUCAGAAAUGACUGUUGUCACUU
This is an RNA transcript of Cottoperca gobio, 1564 nucleotides long. It is a transcript of the gene named F-box and leucine-rich repeat protein 15, with no coding region annotated. The transcript has 5 exons. Lineage: Eukaryota; Metazoa; Chordata; Actinopteri; Perciformes; Bovichtidae. The record is from RefSeq and is a predicted model, not a curated record.